CAAAAGUUUCAGCCAAAUUCUCUCUAGAAUCGGCCUACUCUCCUCAGCGAAAAUUUCAGCUAAAUCAAAAUCCCUCAAAUCAAAAUGUGAAUCUCAUUUGUCAGGGAUAAGGCACUUAAACAGUGGUAUCGUUCAAGGAUGGUGUCGAGCAAGGAGCAGUUACAAGGCACUUAAUAUUUUGUCUUUUUGGGAUAUGGAUAUGCGUACAGUUACAAUGCACAAUGAAGUAUCGGGUAGUAUAUAUGUAAUUGACUCUUUAGUAAUGAUAAUAUUUAUAAUAUUCGGCUUGAGAAAUU
Non-coding RNA from Nicotiana tabacum (common tobacco), 296 nucleotides. The record is from RefSeq and is a predicted model, not a curated record. NCBI's taxonomy places the organism in Eukaryota, Viridiplantae, Streptophyta, Magnoliopsida, Solanales, Solanaceae.